RNAcentral lists this ribosomal RNA (771 nucleotides) under uncultured bacterium. RNAcentral's name for it is "bacterial SSU rRNA". It matches the Rfam family "Bacterial small subunit ribosomal RNA", at positions 8 to 796 of the family's 1533-position model. The record is from RNAcentral.
AGAGUUUGAUCAUGGCUCAGGACGAACGCUGGCGGCGUGCUUAACACAUGCAAGUCGAGCGACAGUGUUCUUCGGAACAUAUGGAGCGGCGAACGGGUGAGUAACACGUGGGCAACCUGCCCUCAGCUCUGGGAUAACUCCGGGAAACCGGGGCUAAUACCGGAUAUGACCUUCCUCUGCAUGGGGGUUGGUGGAAAGUUCUUCGGCUGAGGAUGGGCCCGCGGCCUAUCAGCUUGUUGGUGGGGUCACGGCCCACCAAGGCGACGACGGGUAGCCGGCCUGAGAGGGCGACCGGCCACACUGGGACUGAGACACGGCCCAGACUCCUACGGGAGGCAGCAGUGGGGAAUAUUGCGCAAUGGGCGGAAGCCUGACGCAGCGACGCCGCGUGAGGGAUGAAGGCCUUCGGGUUGUAAACCUCUUUCAGCAGGGACGAAGCGAGAGUGACGGUACCUGCAGAAGAAGCACCGGCCAACUACGUGCCAGCAGCCGCGGUAAUACGUAGGGUGCAAGCGUUGUCCGGAAUUAUUGGGCGUAAAGAGCUCGUAGGCGGUCUGUCGCGUCGGCUGUGAAAUCUCGGGGCUCAACCCCGAGCCUGCAGUCGAUACGGGCAGACUAGAGUGCUGUAGGGGAGACUGGAAUUCCUGGUGUAGCGGUGAAAUGCGCAGAUAUCAGGAGGAACACCGGUGGCGAAGGCGGGUCUCUGGGCAGUAACUGACGCUGAGGAGCGAAAGCGUGGGGAGCGAACAGGAUUAGAUACCCUAGUAGUCC